RNAcentral lists this small nuclear RNA (22 nucleotides) under Arabidopsis thaliana (thale cress). RNAcentral's name for it is "snRNA_01038". The record is from RNAcentral. Lineage: Eukaryota; Viridiplantae; Streptophyta; Magnoliopsida; Brassicales; Brassicaceae.
GACGGACUGGGAACGGCUCUCU